UAAUACAUGCAAGUCGAACGCGCAGCGAAAGGUGCUUGCACCUUUCAAGCGAGUGGCGAACGGGUGAGUAACACGUGGAUAACCUGCCUCAAGGCUGGGGAUAACAUUUGGAAACAGAUGCUAAUACCGAAUAAAACUUAGUAUCGCAUGAUACAAAGUUGAAAGGCGCUACGGCGUCACCUAGAGAUGGGUCCGCGGUGCAUUAGUUAGUUGGUGGGGUAAAGGCCUACCAAGACAAUGAUGCAUAGCCGAGUUGAGAGACUGAUCGGCCACAUUGGGACUGAGACACGGCCCAAACUCCUACGGGAGGCUGCAGUAGGGAAUCUUCCACAAUGGGCGAAAGCCUGAUGGAGCAACGCCGCGUGUGUGAUGAAGGCUUUAGGGUCGUAAAGCACUGUUGUAUGGGAAGAAAUGCUAGAAUAGGGAAUGAUUCUAGUUCGACGGUACCAUACCAGAAAGGGACGGCUAAAUACGUGCCAGCAGCCGCGGUAAUACGUAUGUCCCGAGCGUUAUCCGGAUUUAUUGGGCGUAAAGCGAGCGCAGACGGUUGAUUAAGUCUGAUGUGAAAGCCCGGAGCUCAACUCCGGAAUGGCAUUGGAAACUGGUUAACUUGAGUGUUGUAGAGGUAAGUGGAACUCCAUGUGUAGCGGUGGAAUGCGUAGAUAUAUGGAAGAACACCAGUGGCGAAGGCG
RNAcentral lists this ribosomal RNA (692 nucleotides) under Leuconostoc lactis. RNAcentral describes it as "bacterial SSU rRNA". It matches the Rfam family "Bacterial small subunit ribosomal RNA", at positions 49 to 723 of the family's 1533-position model. Lineage: Bacteria; Bacillati; Bacillota; Bacilli; Lactobacillales; Lactobacillaceae. The record is from RNAcentral.